UACGGGGGGGGCAAGCGUUGUUCGGAAUUACUGGGCGUAAAGGGCUCGUAGGCGGCCAACUAAGUCGGACGUGAAAUCCCUCGGCUUAACCGGGGAACUGCGUCCGAUACUGGCAGGCUUGAAUCCGGGAGAGGGAUGCGGAAUUCCAGGUGUAGCGGUGAAAUGCGUAGAUAUCUGGAGGAACACCGGUGGCGAAGGCGGCAUCCUGGACCGGUAUUGACGCUGAGGCGCGAAAGCCAGGGGAGCAAACGGG
Molecule: ribosomal RNA, 253 nt
Filed under: uncultured bacterium
Lineage: Bacteria
Description: partial 16S ribosomal RNA
Rfam family: Bacterial small subunit ribosomal RNA
Source: RNAcentral